GAUGAACGCUAGCGGCAGGCUUAAUACAUGCAAGUCGAGGGGCAGCAGGUCCCGCAGCAAUGCGGGAUGCUGGCGACCGGCAAACGGGUGCGGAACACGUACAGAACCUUCCUUUAAGUGGGGAUUAGCCCGGAGAAACCCGGAUUAAUACCCCGUAACAUAAUGAAGUGGCAUCACUUUAUUAUUAUAGCAGCAAUGCGCUUGAAGAUGGCUGUGCGGCUGAUUAGGUAGUUGGCGGGGUAACGGCCCACCAAGCCUACGAUCAGUAACUGGUGUGAGAGCACGACCAGUCACACGGGCACUGAGACACGGGCCCGACUCCUACGGGAGGCAGCAGUAAGGAAUAUUGGGCAAUGGACGCAAGUCUGACCCAGCCAUGCCGCGUGGAGGAUGAAGGUCCUCUGGAUUGUAAACUUCUUUUAUCUGGGAAGAAAUCUAUUUUUUCUAAAGUAGUUGACGGUACCAGAUGAAUAAGCACCGGCUAACUCCGUGCCAGCCGCCGCUGUAA
This 508-nucleotide ribosomal RNA is filed under the name uncultured bacterium. RNAcentral describes it as "partial 16S ribosomal RNA". It matches the Rfam family "Bacterial small subunit ribosomal RNA", at positions 28 to 523 of the family's 1533-position model. The record is from RNAcentral.